AAGAGCCGUCGAUUUCAAAACCAUUAACUCAAAGCCAGGUCCCUCCCAUGCCUUACAGCCUCCUGUUACUUGCUAAGCACGUUUGUUAGGCGGUCGGACAGAAACUGAAUUAAAAGUCCUCAGCCCGGAGUUGGGGGGACAAUCGAGUCUUCAGUGGGAAGCGAGAGGUGCGGGAGCCCCGGAGGCGCGGGGACUGCUGGCAAUGCACGUCCAGCAGGACGAUGUUUGGGGAGAAUUUCAAGGGCCCCUCGCAAGCCCUCCCGCGAACCCACCCCGACCCAGCUUGAUCUAACUUCCGUCAAUUAAGAUAAAACCAUAAGGAUUGAGGAAGCAACAAAAUAGAAGAAACAAUGUCCUCAAAUGACUAACUGAAGACAGAAGAGCUGCCCCACCAACCUGGACUACUCACCACUAGACUGUUACUUGACAGAGAAAUAAAUUGGUAUAUUAU
Molecule: long non-coding RNA, 451 nt
Organism: Cebus imitator (Panamanian white-faced capuchin)
Lineage: Eukaryota; Metazoa; Chordata; Mammalia; Primates; Cebidae
Exons: 2
Source: RefSeq, a predicted model, not a curated record